GUGUCAGCAGCCGCGGUAAUACGAAGGGGGCUAGCGUUGCUCGGAAUCACUGGGCGUAAAGGGCGCGUAGGCGGCGUUUUAAGUCGGGGGUGAAAGCCUGUGGCUCAACCACAGAAUGGCCUUCGAUACUGGGACGCUUGAGUAUGGUAGAGGUUGGUGGAACUGCGAGUGUAGAGGUGAAAUUCGUAGAUAUUCGCAAGAACACCGGUGGCGAAGGCGGCCAACUGGACCAUCACUGACGCUGAGGCGCGAAAGCGUGGGGAGCAAACAGGAUUAGAUACCCGCGUAGUCC
RNAcentral lists this ribosomal RNA (292 nucleotides) under uncultured prokaryote. RNAcentral's name for it is "partial 16S ribosomal RNA". It matches the Rfam family "Bacterial small subunit ribosomal RNA", at positions 505 to 796 of the family's 1533-position model. The record is from RNAcentral.